GGCGCACGGGUGCGUAACGCGUGGGAAUCUGCCCUUUGCUUCGGAAUAACAGUUAGAAAUGACUGCUAAUACCGGAUGAUGUCUUCGGACCAAAGAUUUAUCGGCAAAGGAUGAGCCCGCGUAGGAUUAGGUAGUUGGUGGGGUAAAGGCCUACCAAGCCGACGAUCCUUAGCUGGUCUGAGAGGAUGAUCAGCCACACUGGGACUGAGACACGGCCCAGACUCCUACGGGAGGCAGCAGUGGGGAAUAUUGGACAAUGGGCGCAAGCCUGAUCCAGCAAUGCCGCGUGAGUGAUGAAGGCCUUCGGGUCGUAAAGCUCUUUUACCAGGGAUGAUAAUGACAGUACCUGGAGAAUAAGCUCCGGCUAACUCCGUGCCAGCAGCCGCGGUAAUACGGAGGGAGCUAGCGUUGUUCGGAAUUACUGGGCGUAAAGCGCACGUAGGCGGUUACUCAAGUCAG
Molecule: ribosomal RNA, 459 nt
Filed under: uncultured bacterium
Lineage: Bacteria
Description: bacterial SSU rRNA
Rfam family: Bacterial small subunit ribosomal RNA
Source: RNAcentral